This 353-nucleotide ribosomal RNA is filed under the name uncultured bacterium. Its description in RNAcentral is "partial 16S ribosomal RNA". It matches the Rfam family "Bacterial small subunit ribosomal RNA", at positions 338 to 683 of the family's 1533-position model. The record is from RNAcentral.
UCUACGGGAGGCAGCAGUAGGGAAUUUUCGUCAAUGGGCGCAAGCCUGAACGAGCGAUGCCGCGUGAGUGAAGAAGGCCUUCGGGUCGUAGAGCUCUGUUGCGGGGGAAAAAAGGCAGCAUCAGGAAAUGGGUGCUGACUGAUGGUGCCCCGCCAGAAAGUCACGGCUAACUACGUGACAGCAGCCGCGGUAAUAAGAAGGGGGCGAGCGGUAUACGGAAGGAUUGGGCGGAAAGGGUGCGCAGGCGGGCCUGCAUGUGUGGAGUGAAACGCAUGAGCUCAACUCAUGCAUGGAUUUGGAAACUAGAGGACUGGAGAGCAGGUGAGGGCGGUGGAACUCCAUGUGUAGCGGUA